Molecule: long non-coding RNA, 20937 nt
Filed under: Phoenix dactylifera (date palm)
Lineage: Eukaryota; Viridiplantae; Streptophyta; Magnoliopsida; Arecales; Arecaceae
Description: long non-coding RNA (PDAC_LNC005414)
Source: RNAcentral
AGGAUAUGUACAAAUUUUUUCUUCUUUUUUAUAUUAUGAAAAAUUUUUUGCUUCUUUUUUAUAUAAUCUUCUCGUUAAAUAACGCCGACGAGCGGCAUGUCAUGGUUAGGCUAUAUAAUACUAGAAGUUAGAAAGAUAAUUACUAUUUAACCAUGCUCUCAUAAACAGUAAUUAUUUAUUUUUUGAUGACUCCCCUCAGAUUAGUCAAGGUUGCCGCUACCAGCCAAUUACAUUUUCGAAUAAUUUAAUCUGCCUAUCUGAUAUGAAAAAAUAAUUUAAUCUACCAGGCUGAACUUUUUUUACCAUAAACGAGAACCAGAAGCUUCUUCAAACUUGUCUUCUCCGUGUUGUUCCUAUUUCCAAGUCAAAAGCCGAAAGCGAGAAUCGAAUUCUGAUGGCCGAGGCUUGGCGACCCUUGGAGAUAGGGUUCGAGUUCUAUCUUUGAAGCGAAAGAAUGAUUGACCUUUUUGUCCGCGAUAUCAGCCGUUGGAUCGCGUAUUACACGGCUCGCAAAACAUUCCAAUCUCACCUUGCCUCCACCUGCACAGAUCUCGAAGCGGCUAUUACACGAUCCAACGGUUGGCGGCGCGAAAGAGGGUGAAUCAAAGGUGCAGCCCGAGCCCGUUGGAGAUCGCGGGGGAAUUCCAUCCGACCGACGCCAUUUGCGUGGGGUCCACGCGGAGGAGGUGCCUUCCCACGUAGCGUUCGGCGUGAGCCACCCACUGGAGCAAGACAAAGGGGAAUAUGUGGGACCCACAGCCCUUUUUGUCGCUGCUUGAGGUUGUGGGGCCCCAGUUCUCUCUUUUAUUUUUUCUUUUCUACAAGGCAGAGCUUUUUGUUUCUAACGUAUACAGCCAUGGGCCCGGCGAGUCACCAAAAAAAAAAAAAAAAAAAAGCAAUAACAAAAAGGAGUGGAGACCACCAUUUCUCCUCUAAUAUCAAAAUCUAACCUAAUUGUCAUGGUUGUAUCAAGUUAAACAAGCAUGAACUACGACCAUUUACUUAAUCUAAUCCAAACUGGGAGCAUCCAAAAGUUUUUAGGUUGGCAACUAACGCCAUUAACUUCUCAAUCAUCCGUUUGUUAUCUAUUUAUAUAUGGACCGUAUAUAGUUUUAUAUGAAUUAGUAUAUUGAGGGCCGGUGAGGGCAGAGGUACCCUCUACAAUAUUCAUGCAUAAUUAAAUGUCCAUCCGUUUAUGCUUUUUGGACUCAAUAGCACCCAUUUUUAUUUUUAUUUUUAUUUUUUAUACAACAGUAACUCACCCCAGACAUAUAUGAGUGCAUCCAAAAAGGUCAAAAAAAAAAGUUGACGGAAAAAAAGAAGAAACAAAUUCGAAACUCUUUCGGAGGAACUUUCCUGAAUGAUGUACAGCAUAAGAGGCAACUCAGUCAGCAGCACUAUUCGCUUUCCGAUAAACAUAAGUAGCCCAAAAGGGAACAACCCCCUCCCCCCUCCCAUGAGCCAAUAGAUAUGCCGAAGUAGCGGGUGCCGAUCAACAUAGCUGUGCUGGCCCUGAAUUCAGUUGAUCACCGUAGCCGAGUCACUUUUAACAUAUAUAAUGUCCGCUCCCUACUCCCAGAACUAACUUGUCAUGGAUAAUGCUUUUAUUUUGGCUCUCAACUCUGCUCCGAUGAUAGGCUCAUUGAAGAUAGUAACCACUCUUGUGCAGGGGUUUUAUUAGAGGGGAAAAUCUGGAAAUAUUUUCAUUUUAUCUUUAGGUUUUUAUGGAAAAACUUUGCAUUACCCUAUCAAUAUUCUAUUGGAUACCUAAUCUGAUAGUCUGGGCAAAGUCUGGGUAUGGCAGAAGAGUUGUUAAAGAAACAACUCUAAUAAAACCAAACAGGGCCCUUUCAUAAGGUUUCAUCAUCCAAACAGGUCCAUUACACUUUGGUGAUGGUUAGCAAAGUUAAAGUGGAGUUCGGAGAUGAUGGGUGGGAACCAUCUGCACACUUUGGUGAUUGGUCCGAGCCCUUUUCGCUUGUUGAUGAGCAUAGUUGAGGAGGCCCACAUAGAGGAGUUUUGGACAUUACCCUGCUGAUAGAAUUAUGAGGAAGUAAUGUGAUACUAGGCAUGCAUUAAAGAAGUGAAACCGAGAGGAAGUGAGUGAUAUCUUUCUCCAAACGAAGGUGUUGGAACAAAUCAUUCAUAUACUGCAGCAGAGAGAGAUCGAUGAGGUUGGAUUGAUUGAUUUAGAUUUGCAGAUUCUUCGUGCCUUUGUAUCCAACCAUCACAAUCUUUUUAGGCAAUAAGAGGAGUUUUGGAGGCAAAUAUCACAUGUAUAAUGACCUGGGGAGGGAGAUCGUAACACCAAUUUAUUUUUUCAUAAAGCCACUCAUAAAUUCUAUGAUGAAUUAAGAUGAGUCAUUAUUAGAGGAUUUUCCUAGAAUUCACAAAGUCCUUCUUCACUGCUUCAGGGAGAGAUGGUGUCCUAGUUCAGAAUGCUUGAACCCGGACUUGCCACAAGUAAUUCUAUUGGAUGAGGUGAGGAUCAAGUGUUUCUAGGGUCAGAGAUAACUAAAGCUGAAAUUGUGAGCAAACCGCAAUCCAUGGCCUCAGAAAAAACUCCUGGUCCAGAUAGUUUUCCUUGAACGAACUUAGUUUGAGAACUCCAAGCUUCUUUAAUAUGAGAGUUGAUGCAGUUAAGGCAGUGUCUCACUUUUCAGGAUUGGAGUAAUGCUUGAUUCUUCAAAGUUCACCUACACUAAUUCAGUCACUACAGUUGAUACCACAACUAAACCUUCACACUUUUGACCCAUUAGUCUUUUCUCUACCCUCUGGAAAUCGUUGGCCAAAUUUCUUAACAAUAGACUAAAGGUUUCCAUAGGAACAAGCCGCCUUUCUUUUGGUUGGAAUAUCACUGAUAGCUUGAUAUUGGAACAAGAGUCUAUACACACUUUUCAUCGUGCUCGAGGAAACUUCGCUAUAGUAGGGGUGAAAUAGAUAUGGAAAGAGACUAUAACAGAGCCAGCUGAGGUUAAUUGGAAGCAAUUCUCAAGCAUUUUUCAGUUUCCAGAUAAAUGAAUGAGUUGGAUUCGUGGAUGUACUCUUAAUCCCUCAUUUUACUAUGCCUGUGAAUUGCUCCUCUGCAUCAAACUCCAUCAUGGGCUUAAGACACGGUUGUCCCCCUGUCGACUGACUUAUUCGCUCUAUGCUCUGAGAUGCUAACCAGAUCACUAAAUCUUGAGAUGAAUAGAAGUAAUCUUUGUUUUGACAUUUAUUAUACGUGGAUGACUGUCUCUUGCUAUCUCUGGCCUGUGUUACAGAUUGUAGACUGUUGUGAUAACAAUCUGUGUAUCGAUUCACUUUGAGUCUUGGGACUGAUCAUCAUACAGCUAAACUCGUGCUGAGCAAUCAGAAACACUGAUUGAUUGGGUCGAUAUCUUGGUGGUCCACUAUCAGGACAGAUCCCCAAGCAUAACUUACAUCCUGUAAUGGAUAGUAUCAUUGGUCCGCCUUGCAGCUAAAAAAUGGAGAUUUCUCUUAUCCUUUAAGUUGCAUACUAUUCCUUGGGUUUCUAUCUGCAAGCUUAAACAAUUUGGCAGGCUUGGUAUAGCUGAUUUGAGGAAAUGAUGGAUGGCACUACUAAACUUGCAGGCAAGAUAUACAACUUCAAUCUCUCCUAGCCAGGCUACUUCAUGCUAAGUACAACUUUUCGGGUCAUUGACUAUUAUAUUCUCCUACUAGAAAUGCCUCUAUGACUUAGAAAGCAAUUUGUAGACAUAAGAAAUGGAAAUCAUCUCAACCUUGAUUCAAAAAAGCACCCCUACCUAGAAACUAUGCUUAUUGCUGCUAACUUGGAUCAAUUUCUAAACUAUCCAACAGCUAGUUGCUUUAUAACUGAUGGCUGUUGAAACUUGCAUCUAUUUAACCUCUGUUUCUACAAUUCAUCAAUUGGAAGGUGAUCUCUACAACUUUUGUGAAUGGUGGAGACCAAGGCCUUUUGUGAUAGGGAGAAAACUUAAAACGCAAAAUAAAAGUCAACGAGGUGUAUAAUGGAACGUUGAUGAGAGAAGGUGGUGCAAAGGAGAUCCAUGACAAAGUUAGCUGUUUCAUCUGGAAGGUUAUUCAGCAUGGUAUUACUACUGAGGACUUGCUACAUAGUAGAUGCAUGGGUUUUGGUACUUCCUCUAGGUGUCAUAUGGAAUUGAGACUAUUAGUGAUUUAUUUUUUCUUGUCCCAAAGUUAUUGAUAUAAAGGUCUAGAAACCAGGCUCUGCUGUAAACACAAAGUUGUAGCAGAAUAAGUCUCAACAAAAACUUGGGAUUCAGAGAUAGUUCUGAAUUUAUGCAAGGGAAUGCAAAAAAUUGUGCAAACUGCUGGAAUGAGACGACCUAAGUUUUACAAUGAUGGAAUACAUGCACCAACAAUACCUGUUGGAGAUGAAGUAGGCCAAAAACAACCAUAACCAGCCAAGAAUUAUAGAGAAAACAAAGCAAGUGACAUAAUAGAAAUGUCAUCGAUAUAUCACUGAGCACAUGAAAGGCACUACCACACAACAAUAAGAGAAGAAUUCACUAUAAUAAUCAUAUAAUAAAAGCAUAAUCUUCCAAAACUUUGCCCUACAUUUUGGGGUAUUACAAUAGAUUGAGGCAUACAAGAUUACCUCCCUUUCUUGCCCUUAUCCUAGAGAGAUUCCUCUCCAAGCUUCUCUAGACUUAAGAAUGGAACUCCUUGCUCUGAUCUCUAAGUCUUCUCCUGGCUUGGCUACAAGAAUUCUUCUAGCUUUUUCUCUGGCAAAAACCCAGAGGAACCCCCCAAUCUCUUCCUGUCUUCUUUUGCUUCUUCCUCAUGGGCCGAACCCAUGGCACAAAAUAGGCCCAAUACAGUGUGGGCCUUGUGGAACAUAAUAGGCCACUAUGAACUUAAAAGUCCCCUCAAAGGGUUGGACCCUGUGGCAUAGACCCACCACACAAUUUUAAUAAGACUUGCACUGAUGGUCUCCAGGAAUGCCCUGCACAAAGCUCCUUGUAUUUACUGGGAACCCUCAGAACUUGACUGCAUUAAUAUUAAUUUUGAUGGCCCAUGUAAAGUUGAUGAUCAAUGUCGAUGGUUUGUGAUCUGAAAUGUGGAGGAGACAAUUCUUAGGUGGAUGAUUCUUGAUUCUAUGUGUUGAAUGUAAUAAGAAUCUUGUUAGGGGGGAAUUCACUUACAUCAGUAUCUUGGAUACGAUCUUCUUCUAAUUGUCAUCCCAUUCUUCAGAGCCUUGAAAGAUAGAUUGCUCCUUUUUUUUCUUGUGGAUAACUCGUAUUUUGCCAAGCAAACUAGCCUAUGAACUUCAUGGUGAACUGGUUUCAGGCUCAAUUGUUGCAAAUUUUUGGUUCUCUAAUUUUACUUUUGGUUUUAUGCUCUUAAGAAUGGCUAGCAAUCUAGACUUUGCUUAUGUUCUUUUGUAUUCUGUUGGAGAGUUUUUUUCCUAGUAUCAAUCUAUCUGUCUAUUCUAUAUAUAUAUAUAUAUAUAUAUAUAGAGAGAGAGAGAGAGAGAGAGAGAGAGAGAGAGAGAGNNNNNNNNNNNNNNNNNNNNUAUAUAUAUAUAUAUAUAUAUAGUAGUAGAGAGAGAGAGAGAGAGAGAGAGAGAUCGCUUUAUUGUUAUUUGUUUUUUUUUUGGUACUACUUUAUUGUUAUUUGUUAAAGACCUUUAAUAUAAACUAGAAAAUCAAGGAUUGUGAAAUGUGGCAUUGAGAGUGGCCUAUGAACAAAAUGAUGGUGAGUUUACAGAUUGUGGAAAACUAUUUUUUUAAUUCACCUUUUGUCUUGCAUUUUAUAUUGUUUUUAGUUUUUGUUUACUUUUAUCUAGGUCAACUUUGAGAAUGAAUUUAGCAUGCCAUUUUUUCAAACAUUUUGCAAUAUGUAAGAUUUUUUGAUCGUGGCAAUUUCUUCUCCUAGUCUUUUCACCUUGCAUAUCAACAAAUACUUUAUAACUCCAUUCAAAUAGGCCUUAAAAAUAAAAUUUAUUGAGUAAUGUUCGAUAUAAUUGCUUAUGACAACCAAUCCGCAAAGUACAUUGUGAUAGUUUCAAAAGCAACUUUCUAAUAAAAGUCAUUAAUAUUUUCUUAUGAUUUCAUCAGUCAAUUACAUGAAUGUAAUGCUUUUCAAGUUGUUAACAUAUAAAUCUACAACAUGGAUUGAAAGCAGUGCAAAAAGAGACAAGACUAUAACAUUUGAUAGUUUAUUUUGAGAUUAGUAGAGAGGGGACAUUGUCUAUUAAGAAAAUGAAUGUAAGGAAUGUAUAUUUGGUGGGCCAAAAUAGACCAAUGUCAAUUGUUAUUGCUCCUUUUAGAUUGGAUAGCUUUGAUGCUCUCUUCUCGAUUUGAUAUUAUUCCCUCUAAUUAGUGGCUAAAGGGAAAGAUAGUUAGAUCUCACAAAUAUCAUAUCAAUUUGAUAUCCUUAAACCUUUUCAUUUUUUAGAAAAUGGUGAUAGAUUCUUACUAUUUAUGGGUGAUUUUAAUUGGUGGGGAUUGAGAUGUCCAAAAAUAUGAAUUUAAACAGAGAUACUUAGGCUAUGAAGGGAUGGGAGCUUGAUUUAAGUUUGUUUUGAUAGUUUCAAAAAUCGCCUAAAUUAGAUCAAAAUUAAAUUGGGUUGGGUCUAAUCAACUAGCAAGCAUGGAAUUUAAUCAAAUUGAACAUGCUUAAGUAAUUAGUCCGUAAAUCAUUAAUUUAGAUGGACAGGUGGAGUUGAGGGAUAAAUCAAGUAAGCUGAUUCAAGUAAAAUUAGUAGACUUAGAAGGAUUUUUUUCUUAAUUGAGCUCAAAAUUGGUCAAUUAAAGGUGGAUUUGGUCAGACGGUAUAUCAAUCAGGUUGAAAAUGAAAUGAAAUGGAAGAAAUUAGAUUGAAAUGAAGGAAUUUAGGGUUGAAAAUUUGGAGAAAUCAAUUAAUUGAUACAAUUGGGUUCAAUUAUGCUCAAAUGAAUGUAUAAUUUAUCCACUGAAGUUGGGAUGAGGUGGAUUCUAACUAUUUUAAAUUAAAUUGAAAUAGAAAAGGUGUAAUAAGAUAAAGGUCUGACAAAACCAAGUAGCCUCGUUUAGAUGCUUGAUCACUUAUUGGUUUUAGGCCCAAAGCUUUAUAAAGGAUGCUUUAGGGUGUCUACAACUACUAUUGUUUCUAUUAUUAUUAUGUUAAUGAUCUACAUGAUUGUGCAUUUUGGAAGUAAUGAGAGAUGGAUAUGUUCCUAGGUUUUUUUCGCUAGAUUCAAAUUUUCCUAAGAGUCUAGUAGCUACUAAAAUGUAAUAUGAAUGUAGGAUAAACAAGCGUUGAGAGAGACACAAAGUUAGGCCGAACUCAAAACUUUAACUAUGUUGUUAUUUGACAAAUAUUUUUUUUUUGAAGGAAAGUUCAAUAUCUUACGUAUGGAUUUGAUGGUACUUAUUGCAAAAGUGCAAGUUUGAUAUAAGUAGUAUGGUCUUACUAUCAUGGUUUCACAUAAACUAAUCUCCAUCGAUUUUAGGUUAACCAUUUUGAUCAUCAAUUUCUUCUUUCACAUAUUAAAGUAUUUUCAAGGUGUAUGAUUGUGUGAGAUAAAUACCAAAAAUUUUCUUCCUAUAGAAACGGAUAUCUUAUACCUUGAAAACAUUUUUUAUUUAAGAAAAUAACAAAGGUAUUAAUCAUAUUCAGUAAAUUACACAACUAUCACAACAAAUGAUCUCUAAAUCGAUCUUUCUCUAUUGCUAGCUACCAAAAUUUACUAACCUAACAAACUCAUAUGGCAUGACAAAUUAAUAGUGACAAAAUAUAUUCACCUAUAUCUGCAAGCCUUUAUGCUUAAGUUAUUUUUAUGCUACUCACUAGCUAUAUGUGAGUAUAUGUGUGUAUGUGUGUAUAUUUAGUUUCUGUUAACAUGUGUAUCAUAGAAUAUAAAUCCAUUGAAAUUAUAGUGAUAAAUGAAUCCCUAGGUAUCCAUAGUUUUGAAAUAGUGGGCCCCUAAUCUUGAAGUAGUGGGCGCCCCUAAUCUGGAAGUAGUGGGCACCCCUAAUCUUGAAGUAGUGGGCGCCGCUUGUCUUGAGAUAUAUAUAGUGCGCCCAUUGUCUUGAAAUAAUGAGGCACUGUUGGUUUUGAAAAAGCGAGAAACUUUAUAUCAACAUGUGUAUCUAGAAAUACAAACCCAUUGAAAUUAUAUUGAUGCACGAAAUUCUAACGGUCAUAAAAUAAUGGGCGCCUCUAGUUUUGAUAUAGUCAAUGCUGCUUGUCUAGAAAUAGUGGGUGCUCAUUGUCUUGAAAAAGUGAAGAUGCUUAUACAAGCAUAUAAGGCAUAUGGCAUAGUACUUUAAACUUUGUAAGUUAUAAGUUGGUGUUAUAAGAUGGUAUUAUUGUUAAGCUUAUGAUAUUAGCUUAAUGGACAAUAUCUAAUGAAAAUAGGUAUGAUUAUCUUCUAUUAUACUUUCCUUCAUUUAUACUUCAUGAUGACUUAAGUCAUGUUCUUCUUUGAUGCUUUCCUUUUGGUGUCUUAGUUGCAAUUAAAGUAGAAGGUUACUGCAAGAGGACUAUACUGCUUGAUGGAUCCUCUAAAGAUCUAUGAAAUAAGUAAUAUUCAAUAUAAAAUCCUUUGAUAUCUAUGUCUUUAAGCUCUAGGACUUAAUAUAGCCCCUUCGUAUAAUCUUGCUUUCUCAUAUAAUCAUUUCAUCUAACGAUAAUGAUCUAAUUUCUAUGUAAGAAUGGAAUUGGUUUCCCUCAUACUAUUCAAUUUGGUAAUCCACUCAAACAAGCUCAAGAUGUAGUAGAAAAGAGAGGAUGUCAAGAAUGCAUCACUCAUAUUACGGCAGUGUUGAAAAUUUUUAGGCAAACCCUCUCUUGAAUAUCUCAUCAUUCUCCCAAUAUGGGAAAAGUUGCCAUUCUUGUAGGAUAAUAUUUCUGGUAAAAGGAAAGUCAGGCUAGUCAAUUAGGGAUUGGGCAAUGGUAGCAAAAAAGAAAUGAUCAACUAGGGAUUACAUGAUGCUUAUGGAGGAUGUCCAAUAUUGUUACUUCUUUCCUUUUAGUUUCUCUUAGUGAUCUACAUGCUAAUUUAAAUUGCACUACAUGUAUUAGUUAGUAUUUUCAAUUAGAUGGUUAAUAGAUAGUAUUUGUUUUCAUUUCUCCUAUUCUCUCCUCAUCACUUACUUCCUAUUUUUUGCAUUAUUUUAUUUCUUCUUUUCUUUAUGGCAUAAUACUAGUUUCUUGUUCCAAUAACAUCUGACCUCUACUGAUUUUAAUAGAAAUUAAAAGGUAUAAUCUAUGAUUGGUAAUUUGAUAUAUGCACUAUACUUUUUGAAAUCACGAUGUUAUUCAUGAUAGUGUAGACCUAAGCCUACAUUGAUCAAGUCUAUACUUUUUCUUUAGAAAAAAAAAAUACCGUUGGUUGAAUAUGGAUCUCAUAUUGACCUACCAUUAAGCUCAUUAUAGAUUAAUCAAAGCAAAAAACGAGAAGCAUGCAAUGCUUGUACUAAUUAUGUGAUCCUUAGCUCAUGAUAAAGAGUUGCACUUGAAGUCCUAGAAAGAAGAUAAAAAAGAAAAGAAUAAUUGAGACUCAUAAAAGGGAAAAUUCUACAAUUAUUGACAAUAUAAAAUCAAUCAAGGUGGAAUCCUACCCCCAAGAGUUUUCAUUGAUUUGACCCUCUAGGCACUCAAAUAAGCCAAGUAUGGACUCACGAAAAUAAUUUUCCAAUUUUAAGUACGAUAACUCAUCUAAUGCAAGAGGGAUGCAACAAUUAGGCUAUAAUUUACUACGAUUUAAUGCAUUUUUAGAGCAUAAUAUUUUGAUUUGCCACACUCUUACAAUGUUUUUUUUGGGUUUAGAUGAUUUUUCAAUUUACCAUCAUCAAUGAUUGAAUAAUAAUGAUGGAACACCACACUAAAUUAGUAUGAGAAAUAUGAUCGAAGUGUUAAAAGAAGCAAAUCUAAAUCUUUUUAUUCCGAUAAUGUCACAAGGAAAAAUAACACAGACUACCAUUGCAAGGUUGAUUUAUUGGAUAUGUGAUUAUAAUUAUAUCAUUUUUUUUUUAGUCAGGAGCAAAAGGAGUUUAAGAAUAUUCGAGAUGAGGGAACAUUAAUGAAAAAUGAGUACAUUAUCAAUCCUUGUUCAUUGAUGAAUAUCUAUAGAUCAUGCACAUGGCAACACAAUCAAAUGGGAAUGGAAGGCAAUCGGCAAUAUGGGCUCAGGUAAGAUUUUCUAAAGAGGUGUCAAAUUAAAGUCAAUAAUUUUUUAUGAUAUUAAACUUAUCAUUUUAAUUUUAAUGUAUGCUAACCUUGACAACAGCUAUUAGCAUAAUUGGUCGGCACCUCACCCCUAGAGGUUCUAGUAUUUAUUUCAUCCAAAAUAUUACCCUUUAGAGAAUUUAAUUAGUUUUUAGUGUGGCAUGAGAGAACUCAUAAGACCAUCUUAGCAACUAUACAAGUCCAAGUUUAAGACUUUCUACAUGUGGUAAACUGAUAAAAAAGAGCAAGCUCUUCUCUCUACCCUAAAAUCAGCAAAAUUCUAAAAAAAAAAGGAAAAACAGAAGGAACCCAUGUCAUCAAUUGUUUUACUAUGCCAUUAAAUGUAAUAAUCCCAACUAAUCUUUAUUUUUAAUAAAGCAUGAAUUAUUAAGAAAAAAUUUGUUGCUUGAUCUAGUACAAGUUUAAACACAUGCAAUGUAUGAUGUAUAUAAUAAAAAAAUUUAUUAACCAUACAAAUUUGUAUUUAAAAAUAAUAAAUCAAAUUAAAGAUAUAAUUUUAUCAAAAAAUUGUUAAUGAAAAUAAAGUUAACUUUAAAAUAAAGUAACUUCGAUGUUUUAUCUGCCCAUAAAAGCAUGUUGAGGUUGUGUAUGUGAUAUUUUCUGCAAUAAAAAAGAUAGUUUGGUUUAAGUAGAAAGAAAACUUGAAAUAAAUUAAAAUUAUAAAAAUAAAUGGUUUUAGAAUUAAAUGUUUAAUGAAAUAUGAAAUCAUGCUUUUAGAUAUCUAAUCUUUAUAAAUAAAAAUUUUAUCUAUAUUUAGAUAACCAAGUGAUAUGAAUGAAAAAAUUAAUAACAGUUUGAAUCAUUAGAGAAAAAAAAAAAUUAUGUCUAAUAUCGAAAGGAGCUAUUGGAUUUGAUAUCAGUAUGGACAUCCAUAUCCUUGAUAUUACUUUAUCGUGAUAUAGAGAAAUGGACAAUUACAGAAAUAAAAAAUUUUAGCCAUAUGGCUCCAAGGGACAUGAAUGAUGCAGGGGAAAACAUGAGAUAAAGUAGUACAUGCUGGUGAAUCCUUAAUUAUCUGCUACAUAAGACUCAAGAAUCACACGAUAUAACAUCUCUCUUUUCCUUUGCCCUUUGAUUUGUUAAUAGCAUCCACUAGACUAUAACUAUUGGCGUCCCAUAGAGUAGAAUUAGAUAUACUAUAAACAAGAUCAGGUAACAAGUAUCCCUUACCUAAGAAUGGAAACAUUGAAUUUUGGACAUCUUUGUAUGUCAUACUAUUAGACUUAAAAGGAUUAUACUACAAAUUCAUAAACAAUGCUUCUUUAUAUUUCUUAAAAUAGAAUGAUAAUUAUCUUUGAUUAGAUAGAUCCGUAUAUGCCAUGUGAUUGGAUGUACAAGAGAUAUAUUAUAAUAUAUUUAAUAGUAUUCCUUGGCCUUUCUUAAAUAGAAUAAUAAUUUUCCUUACCUAUAUAUUAGUUGCCUAAAUUAAAAAGGAAAACUUUAAAUUAGACUCUUUGAAGAAGAGGCAAGCCAACCCAUCCAAACAUAAACAUGUUUAGCUUGGUAAGACUAGUGAGUUCUAUUGGCUCAAGUAAAUUUUAUGCUUUAGAAAUACCUAUUAAAUAUGGAUGUGUUGAUUAGAGACCAUUGAGGUAUAGAUAAAUAUGGUUAGAUUGGUGGACAGACGUGCAAUGAAAAAUCUAAUUUGGCUCAAAGAGGAUAUAUUUUUGGAAAACAAAAUAUUUACUUGAAAUAUUCUUUGGAUUUUCUACAUCUACAAUAAUUUCUAUAUCAUGCCUUACGUUAGUAUUUGACCUCAUAAGAUCUUAUUAAUCCAAUUUUGAGCCUAGUAUUUAAACUUAUGUCCAAUCCAUCACUCGGUAGAUUUAGAUCAUGUUCACUCUAUGUUUAAGCUUCAUCUAGGCCACGACCAAGUUAGAUACAUUUUAACUAAUUGUUGUUGCAUCAAAUUGGGUCUAUUUGGAUCAAAUUGGGUUGGAUUUAAUUAGGUGAAAUCCAUACCUAACCCAUUUUGACGUCACAUCUUAAUUUAGACUCAUGUCUAAUUCAUAGGUCAUGCUUUAUAGGUAGGUCUAAUAUAAGUCAGGUUGAAGUCAAAUUGCAACUUUUUUUAUUUUAUUUUCCAUAUUUUUAUUUUUUAAAAUAUAUGUACAACUAUGAUGAUUUGAUUGUCCUUUUAAUUGAUAUUUUAUUCUAUCAAACUUAUUGAUUAUUUUUAUUUUUUUAUCUAUCUCAAGUUAUAUCACAAUACUAGAUUUUUCUGAAAAUAUGAUAUUGGGGAAAGUACAAGAGUAACACUAUACCAAUUUAAAUAUUAGGUGUUGGUUGGGUUAGGUUGAUAUAUUUCAUUUUUAUACUUGAAUGUGUUCCAUGAUGGUGAUGAUAUGUCCAAGUUAGCCACCCUUGUAUUAGAUUCAAACCAAAGUUUGAAAUGUUCUGUGGUUUAUCUUACGGGCAUACUUAUAGAUCUAAAUAUUAGAUUGGUCUUGGUGGAGUUCUAGUAAAGUCUGGGUUUAUGGCUCUGAGUGGCAACCGUUGCGUGGCUAGCUUUCUUGCUAUUUUAAUUAAGCACCAUAGCAAAAAUUAUUUAAAUCUAACACAAAAAGGUGGUCCUUUUGGUCAUCUAAUAUUUUGUGCAAGUAUUUUCUUGGAUGAACAUAUAUAAUUAAAGCCACUGGAGCAAGGUCUUAUACAAGAUGAUCAUGGUAUUCUUUUGUCUUUAAUAAUAUUUUUCCUCUUGGAGAAUGUCAAAGAGACAACACUCUUCAACAAAGCAUGAAUACAUCCAAAUCUUGCAUCACUCCUUCAAAUGACUAAUAAGAUUCUUUGACAAUUGGAUCAAAAAAAUUUAUAUGAGUUUGAAUCCAAUUACUAUUUACACUUUGUCGAGGGCUCUAUUUAACAUUUAAGGAUCGCAACCCUAUAGAGCGUCUGUUGUCAAAGAUGGUAUUCAUUAUGGUAAUUUGUCAAAGAAAAUAUGAAACAAAUUAAUCAUAUACUAAUAAAAAAUUCUUUGCUUGCAAGUUCACAGUAUGUUGUUGUUAAGAACACUCUCAAAGGAAUUAUAAUAUAUAUAGCUAUUAGCAUAUACUUGAAAAUUUUUAACAUAUUUUAAUAGCACACCUAACAUUGCAAUUUGUGCAAUAAUUAUGACUCUAUCUUUUUUUGCUGCAUAUCCAUGAAGAAUGUAAAAUUGUUCAACAUCUAUAUUUAGUUUCUUUCUCAAUUUUUUUAUUAUAUUUUUGUGCUUUUCUUAAAAAAAAAUCUUGGUAUAUUAGAUUAACUCAAAAAAAUCAUAAAUUUGCAGAAUCCAAGCGGUAUGGAAACAUGGAUUCCUCCCUUGCAUCACAUGAUAUGAUAAGAACUUUGAUGAGUCCAACAUGAUAUUGGAGUUUAUUAUAAGCGCGAGAACAUGGUGGAUUCAGAAAAUUAACCACACAAAUUACAUAUUGAUGGAGUGGGAAUAAAUAGUGGCAUUGUUAUUUAUAACUUGCUAUGUCUUCAUAUUUUGUACCUAGGUGCUCCUACUCACACAAGCAUUCACCAGAAAAAGAGGAGCAUGGAGAGCAUUGUGGUUUUCUACAAUUUUGUCUCGUACUGACAAAUAUCAUAUAAAUGUCCCAUCAGAAUUGGAUCCUAUUAUAGAGAAUGGCAUAAUUGUUGCAGAUUUCACAAGCAUGAAACCCCUUUUAUUAUCAGCAUUUUGUAUCACUUUUCUUGGAAUGAAUCUAUAGAGUUUAAUCAUUUUCAUUACAAAAUUUUUGUGAGCAAAUUGGGGGUUUACGCUCUAUCUCCUUUUCUACUGCAGAGUCUAAUUAUUCUUUAUACAUAAACCUUGAAGGUGAAAACCAAAAUCUCAAAAAAAAAAAGAAGGGGCCUAAAUGAGGCUACAAGUAGUAUAAUCAAAUGAAGACAGUUUACUUUAUUUAACAAAGACGCUACAACAAGCUUUGCUAACAACUCUAGCAAUGCCCAAAGACAUGGGAUCAUUCAUAAUGACCAGUCAAUGGAUUGGGUCAUGAUCUCACCUAAUCUAAAACAUGGCCCAACCCGAUUUGACUUGAUAGCUCGAUCUAAUCAUAUUCCCUAAAAGAGAAAAAGAUGCCAAGGCUCGCUAAUUUCAUUUCUACUCUCCACAUCAUCCCCACUCCUUCUGCCUCCUCCAUUCACCUUUAUGCACUUGACUGUCUUAGCCACUACCGCCUCCAUGAUAAUAGAUCUUUUCAACCUACGAUCCUCCAUCGUGCCCUCACUAUCCUCCAUUCCGUCUCCACCACGCUCCAUCAUUCUCCCCUUGGCCACCCUCUCCCCCACCUCUUCUCACUUCGCCACCACCUUAGCCAUCUACUUAGACCUUUAGGCAAAUUCCCUAGUCGCAUUGAAGAAAGGAGAAGAGAGUUGGUCGCAUCGAGAUGAGGUUUCGGUGGUCAAGUAGUAAAUCUUGAUUCAUGUGAUGAGCUAGGUUGGAUCGGGUCAAACCUGAACCAUUGUAGGGUACAGAGAAGAUGAUUGCUAGCAUAAAGGACACAUGUCGACAGAGAAAAAAAGACAACUAUAACACGUGGAAGCUAUAGUGGAAUGAGGGAGAAUGGUAGAGAUUGAUAUUAUAGUUGUUUAUAUACAUAUCUAUCCCGUCUUGACCAUCCAUCAGGGGUUGAUAUUUAUCUCUUGCAACAAAUUUGCUCGAAUCCACUCUUGGAUCAUCCACUGCUUGCUUUAAUAUCUGUGCAGAUGGAUGAAUGAUGGAGUUCUGAGUGCUUUGAGAUCUGUACAAUGGGUGAUCCAAUGGUUAAUGGCGCAAAGGAAGGUGAAUCCUUCUUAGGUGCAAAAGACACAACAUGGACCUAUGGUGGAGUUACCCAAUAAUUGAUGUAGGGCUUAGAGUUUCAAAUCUACCGGCAAAUAAUUCGAACCAAAAUGGUUCAUUAGUUUUGGGUAGUUUUGAACCAGUCUAAAAAUGGUUCAGAAAUAGGGAUUUGGGUUUAUUGAGUGAUCCAAUGUAAAGGGAUUUCUCCUAUUUGCCAAACUCUUCUUAUUCCCCUUUCUCCACAUGGACAGUGGACGGGAGUUCAUCCCCGACCGGCGGCUGGCAGAUGGCCGAGCUACCCCUCUAAGCCAUCUCCCUCCCUCUCUUUCUCUCACACUUAUUCCACAACCUCUCUAUCUUCCCCUUGCCUCUGCCCUUGAUGGCUGUGGGAACAGGCUCUCAUAAAGUGACAUGGUUACUCCAUUGAUCAUAGAUUUUUAUUGUCUAUUAAUCUAUAGUGGUCAUAAAAUUAAUUUGCUUGUGAUUGAUAAAAUUUAUGUAGCCUCCCUUUCUAUUUUACAGAUUUUACCUGGUGAGUGAAGGAAGUUGAGAACUUUAGAUGACAACGAGGAUGCCAGGAUACUUUGGUGUUAUUAUUCAUUGAGAACUUAAGUAUGGUCAUACUAUGAUAUUACAUUAUUUGUGAUGUUAUAUGUCACAUCCCAUAAUUCAAAAGCAUCAUUAGACUCUAUGUGCAUUAUUUUGAUCCUACAAAUAGGGUUGGACAAAAUUCAAGGGCGACAUCUAUCAUGACCCUUGAAUGAGAUGAUUUUUUUUUUCAAAUUUGUAGACUUUUCGAGCUUUACGACAAGUGCCUCGUGUUAAAGGGUGCUGUGCGCCAAGAGAUUAGGCCCAAAUUCCAUAUUUGGGCUUUGAAACGGAUCGGUUAUAUUGAUUUUUUUUUAGUAAAGAUUUUAACCAAGCAUAUCUCUCAAUUCGAGAAGAAUUAGGUGGAGUGAUAGAAAGAAAAGUCAAUAUAAAAAUCGAGAUCUAUCUUCUGUAAAAUUUUAGCUUUUUUAUAUGUAUUUCUACUGGUCAUUUUAUUUUGGGAAAGCUAGUCCUUUUAGAACUUAAAGAGAAUCUAAUCUGAAUUAAACAAGAUAGACCUCACUAGCAUAAAUAGAGGCUAUGUAACUUAGUUUAUGCCAAUCAAUAAAAGAAAAGGGGAUCUAAAUCCUAUUUUCAUCAAAUUUUUCACUUUUAAAAACUUUUUUGAAAAAUUCAAAUUGAGUGGAUUGAAAAAAUUCUUCCUUCUUUCAGAUUAGAUCAUCCCCAACCUAGAAGUACGUGUUUAGGGACAUGGCAACCAAUCGCACAUAUGCAGGGUUGGAUUCCAAACUAACAAGCAAUCUAAUAAAACAAUGCAUGAUUUUACUUUCCAAAACACACUAAAUUUUCCAAUCUAAUGUGUAGGGUUGUUUUAAGAUUUUGGACAUGCACAAAUUCUUAAAACAACCAAAGUUAAACAUCCAGAUGAAAAUUGUAUGCAAUAUAGUCUAGAUAACUACUUCACAAAAAAUCUAAAACAGUCAUGUCAUAGACUUUAUCCCAAAAAAAGAUAUAGGUUAAGGGAAUGUUUGGCAAUAACCCAUCAUUGACAAAGAAAAGGUCAUAGGAGACAGAGAGGAGCGAGCUAGAGGGACUAAACGGAGCAUUGCUGGAAGAAAAAAAAGGACCUCUUAAGGUCUUUUUUCUAAUCCCCCUAAAGUCGGGCCACAUGAUCUCUUGCUCCCAUCUCAAUUUGUUCCUCCACCUCCUCCUUCCUCUCUUCCUGUUUCGCCAAAUCCAAGUGUUGCCAAACAUGCCCUAGCUAUCAUAAUGUUUAAGUUGACAAUAACAAAGUAGGGCCUACAAGAUUCUAUUUUUAUAAAUAUACAAGUAGCUACUUAUGUGUAACAACAACAGGAACAUACCAUAACCAUAACACAUACUAAGUUCUAGAGGUUACAUAAAUGCAGGAAAGAAGAAACAUUCAUGUAGGCCAGCCAUAUAGAUAUUAUAGACCAAGAAAGAUCUCUGGUUGACUACUUGCUUAGCUAAGAAUCUUGAGACGCUUGACUGACCUGAUAAAAUCCCUGCAACAAUCACCAGAAACAACACGGAAAACAAGUAAGAAACCCCAAAAGCAUGACCUAAAUAGAUAAUAGAAUCUGAAUGAGCUGCGAGCAGGAAUAUGUGGGGUUGGGUGCUCAAGUGCAUGUACGUUGGGACCAAUUGAGGUGCACCAUAAAGGUGCACGAAUUGGGAAUACCAAAGAAGGCAAUCCAUCCAGCUGGGUUUCACUCACACCCAAUUGCAGAUAUCGGACCAUGGCUCCCUCGGUCAAUUGCAUGUAUUAAUGAGAAAUUAUUAGUUGGACCAUGGCUCCCUCGGUCAAUUACAGCACUAGUCCAAUUUGAAAGCAACACGUGCAAUAGUAAUCCCUUUUUUCUUUUUUUAUAUGUAAUAGCAGCAUAUGGAUGUAUUUAUAUUAGUGAUUCAGGGUGGAUCUGGUCCGAUUAAUAAUUUUUCUAAAUUGGGAACUUAUUAGGGGGCACUUUGCAAACAGCUUUUCCAUGUAUGCUGUAGUUUUGGUGAGGAAUGAUCAAAAUCUAUGAAGUGGUUUCAACAUCAGGGGUGGCAAAAGUUGUGAUUUAAAACAUGGAGAUUAUGAACUCACUCCCAAGGCAUGUCUCCAACCAACAGCCAAUCUCCCUCUCCAUCCUCAUACGUGACCAUGAAGCGACGACGAUGAUGAUGAGGAUGAUGAGCAAACCCUGCAAAACCUCCAAUUCCCAACUCUGAACUCCAUGUAUUAUUUGAGAAUGUGCAUGCUAUUAUUAAAAUAAGAAUUUAAGCAAAGAAACUAUGAUGAUGUGAUACCAUGUUGCAUGUUGGGGAACAUCUGGUUGAGCGUGUGGAAGAGUUCCUCGUAAGAGUCAUGCAGAGAGAGGUCCACCUUCCUCCCAAUUGCCACCCCCUCCAUCUUCACCUUCACACACUUGGCUCUUCUACCACCGCCACCGUCGUCGCUGUUGCUCCCACAGUGCUCGCUCCACCUCUCCUCUGCUCCACCGCCUGCGCUCCUCCUCCUCGGGUGUUUGACCGGCGGCCACCCCACCAAUGCUCUGUUUCCACUAAUGCUUUCGCAUGAGAUUAUCAAACCAUCAGAACAAAAACAAUGCACCAUUAACAAGCAACAGUCUGCUCUAAAGUCGAACGCAGUUAAUUACCUGUUAAGCUCGGGGGAAUUCUUAAGCUGGGGGCUGUCAUUCUCAUCAUCUCCAUCUCCACCAUUUUUAUGGACAAAGAGAGGCAGAGUAGCCUUAGGGAUCACUUCUUCAAAUGCCUCCUCGAAACCUCUCUUCCUGUAUGAAUUGGUCGUGCUGCCAUCAUUAAGAUCCAACCCCUUCAUCAAAUGGUUGUUGGGAAGGGCGAGGCCGAGCUCCAACUCCAUCUCUUUCUGUACUGCUUCCUUCUUUUAUUUUACUUUCCAAAGAUGAAAUGUAACAAGUAUCAGUGGGAGAGUAUAUUGGAGAAAGGGGAAGAACUUGAUUGGAUUUGUGUUCAUAAAUAGCAGCUGUGGCAUUAAAGAAAGGAAAGAAGGAAGAGAGGUGGGAGGUGGAACAGGGAGGGGGACAAGGUGUAGGGGUUUAAGGGGACCCAAGCGCGCGUAAGCUGUCUGGGCGCUGUCAUCGGCUAAGCUUGCAUUGAGCGCUACCGACACGGUCCUUUUCCUUUGAUGCAGUCCCGUCCUUUCUUUAUUCGGCGGACAGGGAGAGAGGCAUUUAGUAAUCAAACGCAUGACUUGUGGACGUUCUCCAGCUAUCUCCCUACACGAGCCGGCCAGCCUUGGAGGCAGCAACAAGUCAGCCAACCCAACCACCUUCCAUAACUAGAUACGUAAAUGACCCGGACUCUAAACAAUUCGUAUGCUUUGAACUAAUUACCUUAUUUUUUAUUUUAGUUGAGCUAUAAGUCUGGCUCUUGAUCGGUUCAUUUGCUAAUGGGUGAGCCUAAAAUUGAGCCGACUCUGAGUCAAGGACAAGUUUUUUUUUUUUUUUUUUACCACGAUGAUGGCUAAAGUUGCAAAUGGGUCAGAUUGACCUAUGCCUAAAAUUUAUUUUUUAUUUUAGUUGAGUUUAGUUGAGCUAUAAGUCUGGCUCUAGAUCAGUUAAUUUGCAGAGCCUAAAAUUAAGUCGAUUCUAGGUCAAGGAUAAGUUUUUUUUUUUUGGGCCACGAUAAUGGCUAAAGUGGCAAAUGAGUCAAGUUGACCUAUGACCUAAUCUGAACUGAUCCACUUAGAUCUGAUCCGAUAUAUUUUGGACGAUCUAUGGAGUCGGAUUGAGUCCUAAAAUUGGACUUGUUCUAUUUUUCGAGUCGGAUCUAGAUUUAUUGAAUUCAGACUCGACCCGACUCGACCCAAUCUAUUUGAAAUUUGGAUAAUUUCAGGUUUUCAAUCCUACGACCCGAUCCGAUCCGAAUCUGUAAAAUUAUUUAGUCUCGCGGGCUGCAGCUCGCGAAGGUGUAAAAAUAAGUUCUGAAGCCAUGAAUGGGUUGAUCCGAACCGGAUCCAACUCGGACUCGAACCGAAUCCGAAUUUUUUGGAUUGUAUCUGGGUUAUACAUAGAUCCAAUUAGGCCAAUUUCCUAUUCGGGAAAGCAGACUAAGCAAACUCUUCAAAUUUAUGACCAACCUUUCCUUCAGUGAUCUUACAACGAACAGGAGGGAUCUUUUACUGGUGCUCUGCUUGAAAAUACGAUAAUUGAGUUUUUGAGACUCCGUUUUGUUAACAACAGGUACUCUUUCUGCCUUUCCGGGUAAGGAUCAUCUGUGCUAUGACUGACCCGAUACGACCUGAAUGACCCGUUGGAUCAAAUUUGUAGCGGUGGAUCUAACCUAACCCAACCCAAUAGAACCUAAUUUCCUAUCGGAUCGAGUUUGGGUUCAAAAGUAAAACCCGAAUAAGAAAUCAGGUUGGGUCAUCCGACCCGACCUAUUGGCAUCCUACUGAUCAUAUAACUAUUAAAUUGGUGCUAGAUGCUGCGGCUAUCUCAAAUGGCUCCAAUACGGGUGUGGUUUUCUAUGCCCUUGGAACUGGGUUGGAACCUUGAGGGAGAGGCGGGGGGAGGAGGAGGNNNNNNNNNNNNNNNNNNNNNNNNNNNNAACCUGUCUCCUCGACAGGCGGGAUCCCUCGCGUUUCUUGUCCCGUGAGCGUUUUCCUAGCGCUCGCACACGCUCUACGUCACCUGGCUGGGUUCCGAGCCCUUGGCCUGUGCUCGCUUGUUUUCUUAUUCUAAACUUCUUCAAAUGUGUCCCCCAGCUAGGGAUCAACCCUAACCUCAAAACGUGAGUGCUCCUUACCUAAUUGGUACGAGGGUACGUGGUAUUUUUCUAAGCCUCCACCGUGAUGCACUGUAUUGUGGACUGAAACAGCGUUUCCAAUGCUGUUCCUCUUUUUUUUUUGUAUAGGCAUGGAGACAGAAGACACCGGCAUUGGCUUCCAUUCAAUGGCUCCGACAAGGGCGGGUCCUACAAAGAACCCUUGGCCUUAGCUGACGAGACCGUUCCCUGAGGAUCUGAGCCUAUUAGUGGAUGAUACCAGGAUCAGCUGCAUCACCCAGCUCACCACACACUCUUAUUCUCGAAUCCUCUACCCACACAAUAUUGUGGUAGGACCCACCACACUCAUGCAUGCAUGGACUGCCCUAGCCAAAAUAUUUAUAUUGGCACUGAAAUAACAAAUAAAACUCGCAUAUUAACUAUAUACCAUUUUAUAAAACUAGAUCAAUAACAAUGCUAUAAUUUUUUGGCUAGAAGGCAAUACAGUCAGCAGCUAUGUUUGUCUCUCGAUACACAUUAACAAUCUGAAUAGAAUGACAGACGGAUAUCAAUCUCUAGAUAUCUCUAAAUAAUGGAUGACCAUCGCUGUGCCGCUCAGCCUGACGAGUCCACUCAAUCACUGUAAAAGAAUUUUUUUUUAGAAUGAUACGAUGAGCUCGGAGAAG